Long non-coding RNA from Vicia villosa (hairy vetch), 1321 nucleotides. RefSeq lists it as uncharacterized. The transcript is spliced from 3 exons. Lineage: Eukaryota; Viridiplantae; Streptophyta; Magnoliopsida; Fabales; Fabaceae. The record is from RefSeq and is a predicted model, not a curated record.
UGUUUUUAGGUGUUGUAUAAAAGAGAUGUUGCAGCUGAUAGUAUGUCUCCCAGUCAUCUUUCAUUUGUAAUUUUAUUCACUGAUUUUAACAAGUUUUGUUUCUGGCCUGUGCAGAUAUUCAUUGUUACAAUGAAUUUGAUUCAUUUAUAUGGUCAAUCAAUUGCAAUUGGCAGAUCAUUAAAAACGUUUGACUCAAAUCUACUUCUAUUGCGAUUUUGGCAGAUCAUUUUCUCUCCUAUUUGUUUGGCUUCCCGUUUCACACUUUUAGGAGUAAAGUGGGGAAAUCAUGUUUUCUUUUAUAUACUAACAUUUUUCUAUUUUUCUGGUGAAAUAUGACUUGAUGUGCAGAGGGCUCCUGCUUUUAUAUCAGAAUUGCUUCAGAUUAUACCAAAUGCACAUUACUUCAAGAGAGGAACCUAUGAUUUAAAAAAGAUUGUAGAAUAUGCAAAUAAAAAGGACUUCACAUCUAUUGUAGUUGUACACACCAAUCGCAGGGAACCAAGUAGGUGGUGCUUUUGAGUAAAGAAGAUCCUACGCAUCUAGAUCUUAUAUUUUCAAACAAUUCGCGAUAUGCCCAUGCUAGGUCUGACUGAAAUAGUAGUGCCUGUAUAUUUUCGAGAAAAAAGAAUUUAAAAAGAUUGAGUCUAAAGGUAAAAAGGAUGAAGAUGGCGAGAGUGAGAAAGUUCCUGACCAUAAAACAAUUGCCCGACUUCAGGUUAGUGUGAAUUUAUUUUUACGUAUUGUUUACCUACCAUUUCAAAACUCAAUAUCCAUCGACUAGUCAAUAUAAAUUUGUCUAUGAUUUUUGUUUCAUUAUACUUUCCCUGCUACUUUUCAUUGCUUUUCUUGUGUGGCUGAAUGGAUGUCAUAUUAGUGGUGGGCUGGUGGCAUGGCACCUUAAAGUAGUAUCAUUCUUAUACCGGGUAUAUUAGUUUAUGGGUCUUGUGGUUCAGAUAGUCAACUUCUGUAAUUUAGGGUAGUAUUAUUAUAUAACUUGCGUCUAAAGUAGAUAAUAGAAGAUAAGUAAGACUCAAGAGAGAAUGAUUCUUGAAAUGUUAUCAAUGCACUUCAUACCUCUGGCCAGCAUACUCGUACUUGGUGGAUACGGCAUCCUCGGGUUGAGUACCAGUAAACUCCCGAAUUCGACAACUCUCAAAACUGAAUACUUUCUAAUAUCACUAUUUUUUAUAAACCCUUUUCCAGCCUUCCCUUGGUUAGUUAUUCAGUUAUAAAUUAUUUCCCGGUUUUGCCCCUCUGUCCCUCAAUUUACACUUGUUUAAUAAGAUGUUUUCUAACUAACUAAUAACUAUACACUCCUCAA